UGAAGGAGCAUAAGUUGAUACCAAAACAAGUAAGAAGAUGGUCAUUUAACUAGCUAGCUGUCUCAUUGUCCACUGCAACAUCUAAAGCAAAAGGCAGUAACUCUUGUGCUGCAGAACAGGGACAAGUUUCUCAGAAGCAGUCAUCCAUUUUUCCAACUACUGCUCACUUCUCUUCUGAAGAAUCACGUAUCAAGCCAGGGUGUGUAUUUCCUCAGAGAAAAAUCUCUCGGUCAGCUACCCAGCUUUGACUAUAAAGUUUGGCGUACGAAUCACAUGAAUAUGUGAACUGAAGGAUGCUCUCAAGAUAUGGAGUCCAUGCCUCUUUUCUUGGUGAACUCCACCGUGCGCAUGCGGUAUCAUGGAUCUCUGUCCAUGAAUUCUCUUACUAUACGGUAUCAUGGAUCUUCUCAAAUUGUAAAACCAGCAAGACAUACCAUUCCUAUUUGAUUAAGUAGUAACUCAAUGAGAGCUGUUAUGUAUUAAUUGACAUCUCCGUCCCACAUUUAUGUUUCGCUGCCAAUUAUGCAUGACACUUCUGUAUUUAUAGUGACAUUCAUUUCUUAUGGAGUUCUACUGUACUACUA
This is a non-coding RNA of Lolium perenne, 584 nucleotides long. The record is from RefSeq and is a predicted model, not a curated record. NCBI's taxonomy places the organism in Eukaryota, Viridiplantae, Streptophyta, Magnoliopsida, Poales, Poaceae.